UAUUGGUCAAUGGGCGGGAGCCUGAACCAGCCAAGUCGCGUGAGGGAUUAAGGCCCUACGGUUCGUAAGCCUCUUUUGCCGGGGGACAAACGGCGGCACGCGUGCCGUCCUGAAGGUACCCGGAGAAAAAGCAUAGGCUAACUCAGUGCCAGCAGCCGCGGUAAUACGGAGGAUGCGAGCGUUAUCCGGAUUUAUUGGGUUUAAAGGGUGCGUAGGCGGGAUGCCAAGUCAGCGGUCAAAUACGGGGGCUCAACCUGCGUCCGCCGUUGAAGCUGGCGUUCUUGAGUGGGCGAGAAGUACGCGGAAUGCGUGGUGUAGCGGUGAAAUGCAUAGAUAUCACGCAGAACCCCGAUUGCGAAGGCAGCGUACCGGCGCCCUACUGACGCUGAAGCACGAAAGCGUGGGUAUCGAACAGG
Molecule: ribosomal RNA, 416 nt
Filed under: uncultured bacterium
Lineage: Bacteria
Description: bacterial SSU rRNA
Rfam family: Bacterial small subunit ribosomal RNA
Source: RNAcentral